AUUGAACGCUGGCGGCAUGCUUUACACAUGCAAGUCGAACGGUAACAGGUUAAGCUGACGAGUGGCGAACGGGUGAGUAAUGCAUCGGAACGUGCCCGAUCGUGGGGGAUAACGCAGCGAAAGCUGCGCUAAUACCGCAUACGACCUGAGGAUGAAAGCGGGGGACCGUAAGGCCUCGCGCGAUCGGAGCGGCCGAUGUCAGAUUAGGUAGUUGGUGGGGUAAAGGCCCACCAAGCCGACGAUUUGUAGCUGGUCUGAGAGGACGACCAGCCACACUGGGACUGAGACACGGCCCAGACUCCUACGGGAGGCAGCAGUGGGGAAUUUUGGACAAUGGGCGAAAGCCUGAUCCAGCAAUGCCGCGUGCAGGAAGAAGGCCUUCGGGUUGUAAACUGCUUUUGUACGGAGCGAAAAGGUCCUUUCUAAUACAAGGGGCUCAUGACGGUACCGUAAGAAUAAGCACCGGCUAACUACGUGCCAGCCGCCGCAGUAA
RNAcentral lists this ribosomal RNA (493 nucleotides) under uncultured bacterium. Its description in RNAcentral is "partial 16S ribosomal RNA". It matches the Rfam family "Bacterial small subunit ribosomal RNA", at positions 30 to 523 of the family's 1533-position model. The record is from RNAcentral.